Molecule: ribosomal RNA, 501 nt
Filed under: Triticum aestivum (bread wheat)
Lineage: Eukaryota; Viridiplantae; Streptophyta; Magnoliopsida; Poales; Poaceae
Description: partial small subunit ribosomal RNA
Source: RNAcentral
AUGUCCAACGGCGGCGCACGCACGCCGUCGACGCCACCCGACGGACAGGGCGGGGGACGCGGUACCACCGGCGACACGGACGGAGCUGCGGCGCGGCCACGAGAACGGAGUCGUGGCCGCAGCGUCGUCAGACGCGGCGGAAACGAGGUCAUCGUGCACAAGCGCGUGGUGCAGGAUCGCUCGUACUACAGCAGCAACAUCGUCUACCCCACGCUGACGGCGACGAACUACAUCGAGUGGGCCCUCGUUAUGAAGAUCAACCUGCGGGCGCAGGGUCUCUGGGAGGCCGUGUCUGGCAUGGGCGAGCCGGGCGAUCGAGAGGACAUGGCGGCACUCUCGGUGUUGAUCCGGGCGGCACCGCCUGAGAUGACGCCGGUACUCGCCGUCAAGGACACUGCGCACGAGGCGUGGGAGGCGAUCCGUAUGAUGCGCGUGGGCAUGAACCACGUGCGGGAGGCGGCUGCGCAAAGAGUUCGGGCAGAUCACCUUCAAGGAGGGUGA